UUCUGUAGAUUUUUUAUUGAGUGAAAUUACCCAUGAUUUUUUGUAUCAUGAAAGGAACUAUAAUGUCCAAGCGGAUAUAAAAUUUGUGGAAAUUAUAAGCAGCGCAAGAUAAUAUAAUUUUGAUUGAAGGUGUUGAAUUAAGGAUAUUUUUUUGUCAGAAAACUGUCAAAUUGCGUGCUUUUUGAAUGGGGAAAUUCGCACUCGUAAUUGAGAGGAUGAACAAUGUAAUUCACGAUGUCGUGGAAACGCCGCAUUAAACACAAAUGAAAUAAUACCGUUGAAUAUAUUAAAGAUCUUGGAGAGAUGCGAUAAUGAUUUCCAAUAGAAACCACCGAAAUAUAAAAAAAAACUGCUUCACCCAACAAUUUCGGCAAAUUUAGCUCAGCCCGAUUUCCAAACUUGAAGUAAUGGUUGAUUGGUAAGAGUUCCGGAUCUAACAAAGUGGUCAUUGGCUUGAGUUUGAUAGAACAACAAAAACGAAAUUUCAGUUUUGCGAAUGCUUUUCAGAAGUUAUUAUGAAUUUUAUGCUUGCUGGGUAGUUAAUAUUCAGAUAAUAAAUGAACGGAAAG
Long non-coding RNA from Ceratitis capitata (Mediterranean fruit fly), 569 nucleotides. RefSeq lists it as uncharacterized. The transcript is spliced from 3 exons. The record is from RefSeq and is a predicted model, not a curated record. Lineage: Eukaryota; Metazoa; Arthropoda; Insecta; Diptera; Tephritidae.